GGAAGCCCCAGACCACGGCCAGGGGGAUGCCCAGCACGGCCGAGAGCAGCCGGUAGCACCAGUACUUGCUGACGGUGAAGGUGGUGUAGCUGCCUUUCCAGACACCAUCAAAGCUGUACGUCCCCACGGGCUCAGCUAUCACAUCCUCGAAAUCCACCUUUACAACGUCUUCAUUAAUCCUCUUUGGAUCUCUGUUCACCAGGUCGAUCUCCUUGGUGUGCUGGUCCUUGAUGAUGAUCCUCUCCUCCA
This 249-nucleotide long non-coding RNA is filed under the name Gallus gallus (chicken). Lineage: Eukaryota; Metazoa; Chordata; Aves; Galliformes; Phasianidae. The record is from RNAcentral.